Molecule: long non-coding RNA, 372 nt
Filed under: Gallus gallus (chicken)
Lineage: Eukaryota; Metazoa; Chordata; Aves; Galliformes; Phasianidae
Description: lncRNA (ENSGALG00010029034.1)
Source: RNAcentral
GAUCUUUUUCAGGAGAUCUGUCCUUGGUGAGGCUUUCCCCUGCAAACCUGGAAUCUUCUGAUACGGAGACCAGGGAAAAACAAACUCUGCUCGUCUCAGUUGUUUGCUAGAAUUUGGUCCCGCCAAGGAUGGCCAUAUAUUGUGUGAUGGACUCCACUGUACAUGGAGAGCAUGUAUGGGAGCACAUCCAGCAUCAUGGGAGCAGAUACAUGGCCGCAACUCUUCAAAGAUUCCACACUUGAUCACUUUGAAGAAGUGGCUGAGUAUAUUCCUCUGCAGAAUAGAACAGCAGCUUUUUAUUUUUACAAGUGAAAUGUGACACAUUUUGGGCCAGAUUUUCUACAUGCAUAAAAUACACCAUGAGUUCUGCUG